Long non-coding RNA from Chrysemys picta bellii (western painted turtle), 275 nucleotides. RefSeq lists it as uncharacterized. Lineage: Eukaryota; Metazoa; Chordata; Testudines; Emydidae. The record is from RefSeq and is a predicted model, not a curated record.
GUUUUGAACUGAUCUCCAAAUAAUGGCCAAGCUUUCAUAUCUUAUGUCCAGACUGCUGCAAGACAUGGAUGCAAUGUCAUGAAUUAAGGAUUGCGUUAAGGCCCCAAAAAGAAGAUGAACCAAAUCCUGAUCGCCUGACUCGUGAGGCAUGUGAGCAGAUAUUAACCUUAGGCUGGUUUGUGCAUCCUGGAACACAAGCAUCUUUUACUUCACAGGAAUGUACCUGUUGGACAGUCAAAGGAGUUGCUCCAUUCCUAUGGACCCCAAAUCAGAAU